CUCCCUCCCCUACACUUGCAUUGACCACUAGUGACUUGGCCUGCAGCCUCCUGGUCAAGGAGCUGCCCUGGUAGGGUCGGCUGAGCUCCCUCCAAGCUGCGUAUUAACAGAAGUCAGAAGAAAGGCUGCAAAACCCACGCCGGAAGGAGUUGGGGACAAACGAAAAGACCCUUCGCUCACUCAACUUAUCACUUUUGGUGUCUGCAUCUCUCUGCUCUACGUUGAAACCAGUGCUGCGGUGCAUUCCAUUGCCCCUCUUUUCUAGAUGAGGCCUUAGAGACUGGACAGGACUGUUUGCGGGCCGGGGUGAAUUCGCUGGAAGCCCAGGCUCUGGUGCAAGACCGGAGAUAACGGGUAAUACAGAUUCAAACUUUGUGUGGAUAAUAACCUCAGUGCCAGACAUCGUCGACCUGACUCCUACUUCAGGCAUGAUUCUGAGUGAUUUUUGACCAUAUGGUAACAGAUCAAGAAGCCAGACGUCUGCAGGGCUGUGCUUCUGGGAAGGGGUGUGACCUUUGACUCCUGAGCUGCUCAUCUUGCCAUUUGACACAGGUUUGUUCCCUGAUGAGUGAAGUAGUUACACGGCACUCAGAGAUUAACUCUGGAAUGACUGGGAUGAAAUCUCAGCCACACUUACACCCAAGGCACAUGGGGGCGACCAGCAGCCAAACACCUGGACACACACCUUUGCGUCCACAGGCAGUUCACCAAGAUGCACAUUUUAACCAGGAGCAAUGGAUAAAAUUUUUUCACUCUUCUUUUGGCAAAAACGUCUACUUUCCAGAAAGGAAUUACGGCAAUAAAUUCUGAAAAUUUUUUACAUAAUACACUGGAGAUCCUAAAAACUCAAAAUAUUUGAGUAGACACUCAGCCUAUUUUUGACUCUUGCAGGUGCAGUUCAAUUUUUCACUGUUGAAUUUCAUACAUUUGAAAAGAGCGGAGCAAUUCUUGAGUAUUUUAUUAGCAGUAGUAUUAGUAUUAAGAUUUUAUUUUCCAGAUUUUUAUAGGACUUGCCAUGUGUCAGGCACUAUUCCCAGCUGUUGAAAAACAUUAUUUAAUCCCCAUUAUGAUCAUGUUAGGGAAGUACUGUUGUCACCAUCGUCAGAUGUAAAAUACAGGGAGGUUAAGCAACUUGCCAAAGAUCACACAGCCAGAAGGUGGCAAAGCUGGGCUGUGAACCCAGAUCGGCUGGCUCUGGAGCUCCUGCCCUCUACCAAGAGAGGUGAGACAAACUUCUCUGCAAAACCUUUUCCAGAGCCUUUGGGGCAAACCACUAGGUCCACAAAAAAUAAAGAGGUCGUCUAAGGAAAAAAAUAUUUCAAAAAAAUAUUUGUCUUGCCUUGGGAGCCGGUAUCGGAUGGUGUCUUUGGUGGAUUUCAUGAGUGCAGAGUGCCAUCUUGUGGCAAAGGAGAAUAUAGCUUUUAGCUCUAAAAAAUGGCUCAGGUUGGGAGCUCCCAGUCAUGGCUCCCUGGUAACGAAACCAACUAGUAUCCAUGAGGAGGCGGGUUCGAUCCCUGGCCUCGCUAAGUGGGUUAAGGAUCCAGCGUUGCCAUGAGCUGUAGCGUUGGUCGCAGAUGUGGCUCAGAUCCAAUGUUGCUGUGGCUGUGGUGUAAGCCGGCAACCAUAGCUCCAAUUCAGCCCCCUAGCCUGGGAACUUCCAUAUGCCAUGGGUGCAGCCCUGAAAAAGAAAAAAAUGUAGCCUAGGUUGCCAGCAGACUCUGGUCACGCACUGCUGUUAAUCUGCAGGAGCAGCAGCCCCAUCAAUAAGCAGCCUCUGUAAAGUCAGGCAGAUCUAGAGGAUACUCCUGUAGGGUUUGUUCCUGGUAGAAAUGCAUGGUGUGAACACACUAAGACACGCCAACAACGAGAGAUCAGAACCAGCCACUGGGAGUACUGUGUGUCAGCUGUAAUACUGCUGCCCACUUUACAGAUGGAAAAACUGAGUGCCAGGGAAAUGAAUGUUACAUGCCCAAGAUUACAGAGCUAAUCACAGAGCUGGGAUUCUGGCCAUCUUCUGCCAGACCUCACGCAAACCUCCUCUUUAUGCUGCCACACCAUGGGUAGGGACCUGGGCUCACCACUAGACAGCUUCUCUGAGACCCAGCCCAUACAGCACUUAGCCCUGUGGGGGGGAAUCCCAGGGACUCAUACACCUGCUUUCCUUUCAAAUUAGAAAUGCUCUGGGGAUUCUUAACCCACUGCAGCUCGGGUCUCUGUGGAGGCAUGGUUUCCAUCCCCAGCUUGGGCACAGUGGGUUAAAGAUCUGGUGUUGCCACAGCUGCAGCAUAGGUCGCAGCUGCAGCUGAGAUGCAGUCACUCACCUGGGAACUCCUACAUGCCACAGGUGCAGCCAUUAAAAUAAAAUAAAAUAAAAGUAAAAUAGCGAGUUCCCAUGAUGGCUCAGUGGUAAGGAACCUGGCUAGUAUCCAUGAGGACUCAGGUUCUAUCUCUGACCUUGCACGUUGGGUUAAGGAUGCGGCAUUGCUGUAGCGCUGCAGCAUAGGUCGCCGACACGGCUUGCAUCUGGGUUUGUUGUAGCUGUGGUGUAGGCCGGCAGCAACAGCUCUCAUUCAACCCCUAGCCUGGGAACUUCCAUAUGCCGUGGGUGAGGCCCUAAAAAAAAUAAAAAUUAAUUAAUAAAAUAAGAUAAAAUAAAACAAAGAAAUGUCUGAAUCUCCCCUAGUCGUUUGGCGUUCUGAACGCCCUUCAUCAGCCACAUAAUGUAGAAGUAUAUGGAUUUUUAUUUUCUUACGAAUUCACAAGCAAAUUUAAACUUGAGGGGACCUGCAAGGCAACUUUCCAAAAUACUACUAGUUUUGGACAAAGGACCCCACGAGGUGUCCAUCUCAGACAAGGGUAGCUCUGGGGGCUGAUGCAGCCCGAUUCAUCUACUCCACCCACGAUCCUGCUCUCCUGCUCUCAGUGGCUAUCGCCAUGCUGGUACCUUCAUCUCCAAAGGACUCAGCUCUGCCCCAGGCCUGCAGCAUCAGCCUCCCCCAGCACCCUGUCAGAAGUGCAGAGCCUCAGCCCUGCUCAGCCCUACAAACUGAGACCGCAUCUUAGUAACACUGCGGUGAGGCCCAUGGCAUGCGAGUGUGUGACACGCUGCUGGAGACGCUGGUCGAGGGUGAUGGGCGUGAACUGGGCCCAGAGGCGUGGGGGCUGGGGCAGAACUUACCCACCUUCCAGGCAGCAGGGACAGCAGGACAGGUGAGCCCUGACAGGCUGAGGACAGGAAGGACAGCAGAAAGCAAGGAGCCGGACGAGGAGCUGAUCUGGACUACAACCUGUUUGGAUGUUUGAGGCACCCAGGGGAGGCCACCAUUGAGCACUGAUAGAUGUGGGGCAUUUGACCUCCAUGUACAACCUUGAAAUUCAUCAAGCCUGUGGCCAUCUGUCAAACGACCUCUGAAUUGGAGAGAGAGAAAGGAGGCAGGCUGCUGGUCCCCCCAAGUCCGCUCCCCCUAUUCCGCGGAAUAGCAUUUCUCUUUUGCCCGUGGUCCCCCGGCGGAGGGACGCUGCACCCCCAUCUCCUUUGUUCACCUGACUCAGCGCCAGCCCGUGGAGUGUGAACUUGCAGGUCACUUGCUCAAAUAGGAGUUAACGUCAGUUUUUUUCCUCUCUGUGGUCGUGAUGGUGACCUGUGCAAGUGGGGAAGGGGCAGCAUAGGGACAGUCCUGGGUCCCCACCUGACCAUGUAGCCUCCCCAGACCAUCCUCGUGGAGAGAGAUAUAAGCUGUCUCCAGGUAGUGUUUUGGAGAUAGUUUACAUUUUUUUUAAUGUGCAUUUUUUUAUUUAUUUAUUGGCACACAGAAGUGUCCAGGCCAGGGAUGGAACUCAUGCCACAGCUCUAACCAAAGCCCAAGCAGUGACACCAGCUCCUCAACCCGCUGAUUUUUUUAAUUUUGACAAAACUUCAGACAUAGGAAAGUUGCAAGCAUAGCCCAACCAGGUGUUCCUGUGUAUCCUUCACUUGGUUCCCCCAUUUCACUCCAUUGGUUUUAUCCUUUUCUCUCUUCCUCAAAUAUGUGUAUUUUUCUGACCCACUCGAGACUAAGCCUCAAGCAUGCUGCCUCUUUACCACUGCAUCCUUCAUGUACAUUACCUCAAACAAGGAUAUUUUCCUAAUUCCAUAGACCAUAGCAAAAUAAUCAGUCAGAGAAUUAAUGGUGGUAGAGCUGAAGCUGCUCUCUCUUUAUUUAUUUAUUUAUUUAUUUAUUUAUUUAUUUAUUUAUGUCUUUUUAGGGUCGCACCCGAAGCAUAUGGAGGUUCCCAGGCUAGGGGUCUAGUCCAAGCUGUAGCCGCCGGCCUAGGCCAUAGCCACAGCCACGCCAGAUCCAAGCCAUGUCUGUGACCUACACCACAGCUCAUGGCAAUGCCAGAUCCUUAACCCACGGAGCGAGGCCAGGGAUCAAACCUGCGUCCUCAUGGAUACCAGUCGGGUUCAUUACCACUGAGCCACAACAGGAACUCCAAAAGGCACUAAUUUACCCUUUUCAAGUAGUGAGUGCUCUGCAGAGAGAUGGUGGCAGUCAGCCAGCAGUUUAGACAGCAUCAUUACUGGUACAAAGGCAGAGGUUCCACUGAAGAAAAUUCAGCUGCAAAUCCGAGCCCUGACUUAAGGGCCAUUGUUAGGAAUGUAAUUCAUUCACAUCCCGCCCCUGGUAUUUUGGGUGCACAGGAAAUUUUUCCUAGUUUCCCUGGACUCCCAUUAAACUUGAAUAUUAAUUUUUUAAAUAGCCCAGAGGGGAGCCUGGAUGGUGUAGUUCCCUUUCCAGAGAGUCCACAGCAGGACGAGCCUAGUUUCUGGACAAGGGGAUCGGCAGUUGCUCUAUCCAUUAGGAUGCUUCAGCCUCCACGACAGGUGACCCAACUCUGAGGGACUGACAGGGUCCCCUGCCCAGCUCCUCCCUUUGUGCUGCAUCCCUGAAGGGGCUGAUCCCUCUUCCCAAGAUAAUCUAUUUGACCAGUACCUUCCUCCAGCCGUCCCACCUGGCGACUCCGGCCCAGGGGGAGGAACGUGCAUGCUGGCCCAGGAAGCCAGGACAAAUGAGAAAGAGGCUGGCAACACUGUCAUAUCAGGUGGACCAAAGGCUGGCCCUGGCCCCGGCUUUAGCCGCUGCUAUCCCCAACCUCCCUUCCCAUUCCUCGGUGAAGCCGGGCACAGGCUGCAUCAAGACACUCUGCCCGCCAGGGUUUCCCAGCCUCUCUCCUUCCCCGAGGGUGAUGCUCGAAUGACGAGCUUUGCCCUUGACCUUCACACCGUCCCCUUAAGAAAAAGGCACUAGAUGAAUAAAGGAAGAUGUCUGCUUCACUCCAGGUGGGAAAGGAACAAAACAAAAAGAUGGGGACCCCUGCUUCUCAGGCUUGGGGACCACAUGGGUGACACAGACCAGACCCAGGAAAGAGGAGGAGGGAAAAGGGAAGAAGAGAUGGGUGAUGGGAGGGCCCCUCUAGGCAAUGGGAAGGUGAGGGACCUGCCACACCCAGUCAAGCACCAGCCUCUCCGAAGGUGCAAGGCAGUAUCUAAGCAAGUGAACGGGUGAAGAAGUGAAUCCUAGAAGGGGAGGAGAGGAGUCCCCAUCGCAGUACAUCAGAAAUGAAUUCGACUAGGAACCAUGAGGUUGCAGAUUCGAUCCCUGGCCUUGCGCAGUGGGUUAGGAUCUGGCAUUGCCAUGAGCUGUGGUGUAGGUCGCAGAUGUGGCUCGGAUCCUGCAUUGCUGCUGUGGUGUAGGCUGACAGCCAUAGCUCCGAUUUGACCCCAUAUGCCACAGGUGUGGGUACAGGCCUAAAAACUAAAAAAAAAAAAAAAAAAAAA
RNAcentral lists this long non-coding RNA (5818 nucleotides) under Sus scrofa (pig). Its description in RNAcentral is "lncRNA (ENSSSCG00005043778.1)". The record is from RNAcentral. Lineage: Eukaryota; Metazoa; Chordata; Mammalia; Artiodactyla; Suidae.